CGCAUAAGCUUGCUGCGGAGAAAUUAAAUGGAUAUGAGUAUCAAUACCCGCAGCUGUUAAAAUUAAGUGUUCACCAGAAAUAGCAUCUGUUGAUACCCCAACAACCAUGCCCGGUGUAAUGUUAUCUUGAAUAUUUGGGUUACCACUUUUACCGACACCAACGAUUUUACCCGCUUUAAUCCCCACGUCCGCUUUAAUCACGCCUAAACGCGCAUCGACGAUGGUGACGUUAGUAAUUACUAAAUCUAAAACACCAUUAUCGCUAGUAAAAGUAUUAUUCGCGCCCAUACCAUCGCG
Non-coding RNA from Providencia rettgeri DSM 1131, 297 nucleotides. The record is from Rfam. NCBI's taxonomy places the organism in Bacteria, Pseudomonadati, Pseudomonadota, Gammaproteobacteria, Enterobacterales, Morganellaceae.